Molecule: small nucleolar RNA, 87 nt
Filed under: Spinacia oleracea (spinach)
Lineage: Eukaryota; Viridiplantae; Streptophyta; Magnoliopsida; Caryophyllales; Amaranthaceae
Description: Small nucleolar RNA Z221/R21b
Rfam family: Small nucleolar RNA Z221/R21b
About the family: Z221 is a member of the C/D class of snoRNA which contain the C (UGAUGA) and D (CUGA) box motifs. Most of the members of the box C/D family function in directing site-specific 2'-O-methylation of substrate RNAs.
Source: Rfam by way of RNAcentral
GAGCUAUGAUGAGAAUUAAGAUUGUCAUGCACCACUCUGAUUACCCGUGCUGAUAACUUUCUAUUACCCAUUUUUAUCUCUGAGCUC